ACGGUGGUGCAUGGUUGUCGUCAGCUCGUGUCGUGAGAUGUUGGGUUAAGUCCCGCAACGAGCGCAACCCCUGUGGUUAGUUGCCAGCAAGUAGCGUUGGGCACUCUAGCCAGACUGCCGGUGAUAAAUCGGAGGAAGGUGGGGACGACGUCAAAUCAUCAUGCCCUUUAUGUCCUGGGCUACACACGUACUACAAUGGCCGUUACAACGGGAAGCGAAGGAGCAAUCCGGAGCAAAUCCCUUAAAGGCGGUCCCAGUUCAGAUUGUGGGCUGAAACUCGCCCACAUGAAGGCGGAAUUGCUAGUAAUUGCAGAUCAGCAUGCUGCAGUGAAUACGUUCCCGGGCCUU
This 348-nucleotide ribosomal RNA is filed under the name uncultured Paenibacillus sp. RNAcentral describes it as "bacterial SSU rRNA". It matches the Rfam family "Bacterial small subunit ribosomal RNA", at positions 1035 to 1382 of the family's 1533-position model. Lineage: Bacteria; Bacillati; Bacillota; Bacilli; Caryophanales; Paenibacillaceae. The record is from RNAcentral.